RNAcentral lists this ribosomal RNA (444 nucleotides) under uncultured Agrobacterium sp. RNAcentral's name for it is "bacterial SSU rRNA". It matches the Rfam family "Bacterial small subunit ribosomal RNA", at positions 335 to 796 of the family's 1533-position model. The record is from RNAcentral. Lineage: Bacteria; Pseudomonadati; Pseudomonadota; Alphaproteobacteria; Hyphomicrobiales; Rhizobiaceae.
UCUCCUACGGGUGGCUGCAGUGGGGAAUAUUGGACAAUGGGCGCAAGCCUGAUCCAGCCAUGCCGCGUGAGUGAUGAAGGUCUUAGGAUUGUAAAGCUCUUUCACCGGAGAAGAUAAUGACGGUAUCCGGAGAAGAAGCCCCGGCUAACUUCGUGCCAGCAGCCGCGGUAAUACGAAGGGGGCUAGCGUUGUUCGGAAUUACUGGGCGUAAAGCGCACGUAGGCGGAUAUUUAAGUCAGGGGUGAAAUCCCAGAGCUCAACUCUGGAACUGCCUUUGAUACUGGGUAUCUAGAGUAUGGAAGAGGUGAGUGGAAUUCCGAGUGUAGAGGUGAAAUUCGUAGAUAUUCGGAGGAACACCAGUGGCGAAGGCGGCUCACUGGUCCAUUACUGACGCUGAGGUGCGAAAGCGUGGGGAGCAAACAGGAUUAGAUACCCCGGUAGUCC